CGUGUAGGCGGGAAUACAAGUCAGAUGUGAAAUACUGUGGCUCAACCACAGAACGGCAUCUGAAACUGUAUUUCUUGAGUACUGGAGAGGAAAGCGGAAUUCCUAGUGUAGCGGUGAAAUGCGUAGAUAUUAGGAGGAACACCGGUGGCGAAGGCGGCUUUCUGGACAGUAACUGACGCUGAGACGCGAAAGCGUGGGGAGCAAACAGGAUUAGAUACACUGGUAGUCC
RNAcentral lists this ribosomal RNA (229 nucleotides) under uncultured bacterium. Its description in RNAcentral is "partial 16S ribosomal RNA". It matches the Rfam family "Bacterial small subunit ribosomal RNA", at positions 568 to 796 of the family's 1533-position model. The record is from RNAcentral.